This 404-nucleotide ribosomal RNA is filed under the name Actinomycetes bacterium. Its description in RNAcentral is "Actinobacteria bacterium partial 16S ribosomal RNA". It matches the Rfam family "Bacterial small subunit ribosomal RNA", at positions 355 to 776 of the family's 1533-position model. Lineage: Bacteria; Bacillati; Actinomycetota; Actinomycetes. The record is from RNAcentral.
UGGGGAAUAUUGGACAAUGUGCGCAAGCCUGAUCCAGCCAUGCCGCGUGAGUGAUGAAGGCCCUAGGGUUGUAAAGCUCUUUCACCGGUGAAGAUAAUGACGGUAACCGGAGAAGAAGCCCCGGCUAACUUCGUGCCAGCAGCCGCGGUAAUACGAAGGGGGCUAGCGUUGUUCGGAUUUACUGGGCGUAAAGCGCACGUAGGCGGACUUUUAAGUCAGGGGUGAAAUCCCGGGGCUCAACCCCGGAACUGCCUUUGAUACUGGAAGUCUUGAGUAUGGUAGAGGUGAGUGGAAUUCCGAGUGUAGAGGUGAAAUUCGUAGAUAUUCGGAGGAACACCAGUGGCGAAGGCGGCUCACUGGACCAUUACUGACGCUGAGGUGCGAAAGCGUGGGGAGCAAACAGG